GUAACAUUAUCUCUGUAGCGGGCA
Molecule: non-coding RNA, 24 nt
Filed under: Arabidopsis thaliana (thale cress)
Lineage: Eukaryota; Viridiplantae; Streptophyta; Magnoliopsida; Brassicales; Brassicaceae
Source: RNAcentral